AUUCUAUGUUACACCUAAUGAGAGGAUGCUUGCAAGCAGUUUACUUGUCUCACCGCAGACUUGUGGUAAGCAGGAAGACAGUCUCCUGGGGUUGGUGCAGUCCUCUUGAGGCAGACUGCAAAACCUCCCUGAAGUUGAGUGAAGCCUGAUCUAGCUGUAUAUCUGGUAGCUACACUGUAUUUCAUGUACAGGUUUCAAAGGAAGAAGUCUGUAGACUUCCGUAGGCAACCAGGUCUGUAAAGAUCUUAUGGAUGAAAGUUCAACAUAGGAGGAUUUUGUUUUCUAGGAUUGGUCGAAGGCUUUUUAAUCCUUUAAAGCUUCAGAGAUCCAUUAUCAUAUUUGUUCCAUGGAGGCAAAAGUUGCUCCCAUAAAGCAGAGAAAUCAUUGUAGAGAAAGUUGUUUUAUUAUGCACAUUAUGCACAUUUUUGUUUCUCAAAAAUAUCUGUCACAAUGUACAUGUAUCUUUGCCAUGGGAGUAUUUUUGUGAUGCAAGGUUACUUUGCAUUUUAUUUUUGUGUGUUUUGAAUCUCCGUCAGCCUUUCACUUG
Oxyura jamaicensis (ruddy duck) is the source of this 547-nucleotide long non-coding RNA. RefSeq lists it as uncharacterized. The transcript is spliced from 2 exons. The record is from RefSeq and is a predicted model, not a curated record. Lineage: Eukaryota; Metazoa; Chordata; Aves; Anseriformes; Anatidae.